CCCUUAGAGUUUGAUCCUGGCUCAGGAUGAACGCUAGCUACAGGCUUAACACAUGCAAGUCGAGGGGAAACGAUAGAGAAAGCUUGCUUUUUCUAGGCGUCGACCGGCGCACGGGUGAGUAACGCGUAUCCAACCUGCCCACCACUUGGGAAUAACCUUGCGAAAGUAAGACUAAUACCCAAUGAUAUCUCUAGAAGACAUCUGAAGGAGAUUAAAGAUUUAUCGGUGAUGGAUGGGGAUGCGUCUGAUUAGCUUGUUGGCGGGGUAACGGCCCACCAAGGCGACGAUCAGUAGGGGUUCUGAGAGGAAGGUCCCCCACAUUGGAACUGAGACACGGUCCAAACUCCUACGGGAGGCAGCAGUGAGGAAUAUUGGUCAAUGGGCGAGAGCCUGAAUCAGCCAAGUAGCGUGCAGGAAGACGGCCCUAUGGGUUGUAAACUGCUUUUAUAAGGGAAUAAAGUGAGUCUCGUGAGACUUUUUGCAUGUACCUUAUGAAUAAGGACCGGCUAAUUCCGUGCCAGCAGCCGCGGUAAUACGGAAGGUCCGGGCGUUAUCCGGAUUUAUUGGGUUUAAAGGGAGCGUAGGCCGGAGAUUAAGCGUGUUGUGAAAUGUAGACGCUCAACGUCUGCACUGCAGCGCGAACUGGUUUCCUUGAGUACGCACAAAGUGGGCGGAAUUCGUGGUGUAGCGGUGAAAUGCUUAGAUAUCACGAAGAACUCCGAUUGCGAAGGCAGCUCACUGGAGCGCAACUGACGCUGAAGCUCGAAAGUGCGGGUAUCGAACAGGAUUAGAUACCCUGGUAGUCCGCACGGUAAACGAUGGAUGCCCGCUGUUGGUCUGAAUAGGUCAGCGGCCAAGCGAAAGCAUUAAGCAUCCCACCUGGGGAGUACGCCGGCAACGGUGAAAC
This 907-nucleotide ribosomal RNA is filed under the name uncultured bacterium. RNAcentral describes it as "bacterial SSU rRNA". It matches the Rfam family "Bacterial small subunit ribosomal RNA", at positions 1 to 900 of the family's 1533-position model. The record is from RNAcentral.